UACAGAGGUCCCAAGCGUUGUUCGGAUUCACUGGGCGUAAAGGGUGCGUAGGCGGUCGGGUAAGUCUGACGUGAAAUCUCCAAGCUCAACUUGGAAAUGGCGUCGGAUACUAUUCGGCUGGAGGAAUGGAGGGGAGACUGGAAUUCUCGGUGUAGCAGUGAAAUGCGUAGAUAUCAGGAGGAAUACCGAUGGCGAAGGCAGGUCUCUGGGCUGACACUGACGCUCAUGCACGAAAGCGUGGGGAGCAAACAGG
RNAcentral lists this ribosomal RNA (253 nucleotides) under uncultured bacterium. RNAcentral describes it as "partial 16S ribosomal RNA". It matches the Rfam family "Bacterial small subunit ribosomal RNA", at positions 524 to 776 of the family's 1533-position model. The record is from RNAcentral.